This 631-nucleotide ribosomal RNA is filed under the name uncultured fungus. Its description in RNAcentral is "eukaryotic LSU rRNA". It matches the Rfam family "Eukaryotic large subunit ribosomal RNA", at positions 24 to 664 of the family's 3401-position model. The record is from RNAcentral. Lineage: Eukaryota; Fungi.
CCCGCUGAACUUAAGCAUAUCAAUAAGCGGAGGAAAAGAAACUAACAGGGAUUCCCCUAGUAACUGCGAGUGAAGCGGGAAGAGCUCAAAUUUGAAAUCUGGCGCCUUCGCCGUCCGAGUUGUAUUCUGGAGAAGAGUUUUCCGUGCUGGACCGUGUACAAGUCCCUUGGAACAGGGCGUCGUAGAGGGUGAGAAUCCCGUCUGUGACUCGGAGUGUCCGUGCUCUGUGAGGUCCUCCCAAAAAGCCAAGUUGUUGGGAAUUCCACCUCAAAAUGGGGGGAAAAUUCCUUCUAAAGCUAAUUAUGGCCGAGAGCCCGAUAGCCAACAAGUGCGGUGAGGGAAAAAUGAAAAGCCCUUUGAAAAGAGAGUGAACCAGAACGUGAAAUGUGUGUGAAAGGGAAGGGCUGCGAAAUCAGCUCUUGGUAUUCAAUGAUCAAUUUUCUUUCGGGCAGAUGCACUCGAUCGUUUACUGGCCCAACAUCGAUUUAGCCGGUGAGAUAAUGACAGUUGAAUGUGCCCCUCUUCGGUAAGUGUAAUAGCCUCUGUUGAUAUCAUCAGUUUAGAUCGAGGGCUGCGCAUUUCUGCUAGGAUGUUGGCGUAAUGAUUGUAAGCCACCCGUCUUGAAACACGG